RNAcentral lists this transfer RNA (67 nucleotides) under Marmota monax (woodchuck). RNAcentral's name for it is "tRNA.Val". Lineage: Eukaryota; Metazoa; Chordata; Mammalia; Rodentia; Sciuridae. The record is from RNAcentral.
GGUUGUAGCUCAGAGGUAGAACACAUGCCUAACAUGCCUGAGGCCCUGGCUUCAAUCCCCAGCACCA